GUCUUUUUGUAAGUAUAAAAAGUCCGAUCUGCCCACUGAUAAUUAUAUUGAAGGGCCGCAGUAUUCUGACUGUGCAAAGGUAGCAUAAUCAUUAGUUCUUUAAUUGGGAUCUUGAAUGAAUGAUUAGACAAAAAAAAUACUGUCUUUAUGAUAAUAAUUGAAUUUAACUUUUAAGUGAAAAGGCUUAAAUAAUUUAGAGUGACGAUAAGACCCUAUAAAGCUUAAUAUUAUUAUAAAAUUUUGGGUAAUUUAGAUAUAAAGUUUUAAAGAUUGUUGAUAUUUUAUUGGGGCGAUAGAAGUAAAAGGAUUAAUAACUGCUUUUUUUUUAAUCAAAUAUAAAUGAUUAGUGUGUAAGUGAUCUUAUUUUGUAGAAUAAAAGAUUAAGUUACUUUAGGGAUAACAGCGUUAUUUUUCUUGAGAGUUCUUAUCGAAAGAAAAGAUUGCGACCUCGAUGUUGAAUUAAAAUAUCUAUAUAAUUGUAGCGGUUAUAUAAGAAGGUCUGUUCGACCUUUAAAUUUUUACGUGAUUUGAGUUCAGACCGGUUUAAACCAGGUCGGUUUCUAUCUUUUAAUUAAAUUGUAAUUGUUUA
Molecule: ribosomal RNA, 589 nt
Filed under: Opecarcinus sp. SET11
Lineage: Eukaryota; Metazoa; Arthropoda; Malacostraca; Decapoda; Cryptochiridae
Description: partial ribosomal RNA
Rfam family: Bacterial large subunit ribosomal RNA
Source: RNAcentral